RNAcentral lists this ribosomal RNA (253 nucleotides) under uncultured bacterium. Its description in RNAcentral is "partial 16S ribosomal RNA". It matches the Rfam family "Bacterial small subunit ribosomal RNA", at positions 524 to 776 of the family's 1533-position model. The record is from RNAcentral.
UACGAAGGGGGCGAGCGUUGUUCGGAUUUACUGGGCGUAAAGGGCGCGCAGGCGGCAGACCAAGUCAGGCGUGAAAGCCCCGGGCUUAACCUGGGAGGUGCGUCUGGGACUGGUAUGCUAGAGUUCGGGAGAGGAGAGUGGAAUUCCCAGUGUAGAGGUGAAAUUCGUAGAUAUUCGGAAGAACACCAGUGGCGAAGGCGGCUCACUGGCCCGUUACCGACGCUCAGGCGCGACAGCGUGGGGAGCAAACAGG